AGACACGCCCCAGACUCCUACGGGAGGCAGCAGUGAGGAAUAUUGGACAAUGGAUGGAAAUCUGAUCCAGCCAUGCCGCGUGCAGGAAGACGGCCUUAUGGGUUGUAAACUGCUUUUAUACGGGAGCAAUAAGGGUUACGAGUAAUCCGAUGAGAGUACUGUAUGAAUAAGGAUCGGCUAACUCCGUGCCAGCAGCCGCGGUAAUACGGAGGAUCCGAGCGUUAUCCGGAAUUAUUGGGUUUAAAGGGUGCGUAGGCGGCCAUUUAAGUCAGCGGUGAAAUUUUGCAGCUUAACUGUAACAGUGCCGUUGAUACUGUUUGGCUAGGAUUUGGUUGUAGUGUGCGGAAUGUGUGGUGUAGCGGUGAAAUGCUUAGAUAUCACACAGAACACCGAUUGCGAAGGCAGCACACUAAGUCAUUAUUGACGCUGAGGCACGAAAGUGUGGGGAUCAAACAGGAUUAGAUACCCUGGUAGUCCACACUGUAGACGAUGAUAACUCGCUGUCGGCGAUACACAGUCGGUGGCCAAGCGAAAGCAUUAAGUUAUCCACCUGGGGAGUACGACCGCAAAGGUUGAAACUCAAAGGAAUUGACGGGGGCCCGCACAAGCGGAGGAACAUGUGGUUUAAUUCGAUGAUACGCGAGGAACCUUACCCGGGCUCGAACGGUGCAUGAAUAUACGAGAGAUUGUAUAGUCCUUCGGGACAUGUAUCGAGGUGCUGCAUGGUUGUCGUCAGCUCGUGCCGUGAGGUGUCGGCUUAAGUGCCAUAACGAGCGCAACCCUUGUCAUUAGUUGCCAUCAGGUNNAGAUGGGGACUUUAAUGAGACUGCCACCGUAAGGUGUGAGGAAGGGGGGGAUGACGUCAAAUCAGCACGGCCCUUAUGUCCGGGGCGACACACGUGUUACAAUGGGAGNNNCAGAGGGCAGCUAUCCGGUGACGGAAUGCUAAUCUCCAAAACCUUUCUCAGUUCGGAUUGGAGUCUGCAACUCGACUCCAUGAAGGUGGAUUCGCUAGUAAUCGCGCAUCAGCCAUGGCGCGGUGAAUACGUUCCCGGGC
This 1057-nucleotide ribosomal RNA is filed under the name uncultured bacterium. RNAcentral's name for it is "bacterial SSU rRNA". It matches the Rfam family "Bacterial small subunit ribosomal RNA", at positions 322 to 1379 of the family's 1533-position model. The record is from RNAcentral.